CAAUCGUUUCUACUCUAUUUACCAUUUAAGGUUGUGAAUGAGAUCUAUACUUCUAUGUUAUUGUUCUGAAUGAGAAAAACUCGUAAUGUUCUUUUGUUAUAACUUUCCAUAUGAUUUAUUUUCUUUUUUCUUCCAAGCCAAUGAAAUCUCUGUCACUUCCCUUGCAGGAAAAAUCUGAAAAUUAAAGAAAUGAAAUCGCUUGUGUUCACCAACCUUACAAUCUUUAAACAAGUACACUAGUAUAUUUGUAAUAUUAUGCACGUGAUGCUCUUUAUAAAUCGAGAGUUUAGAAAAGAUUUUUUUUUAAUAUUAUGCAGAUGAUGCUCUUUAUGAAUCGAGAGUUUAGAAAAGAUUUUUUUUUUUUUUUGGAGGGUACUAUAAGGAGUUAAUUUUAGCAAAUGCACUAAAGUAUGUAAUAAAUUUCUAAAUGAUCAUUGAAGUGAUUCUUUAGCAUUAAUAAUCACUCAAAUUUG
RNAcentral lists this long non-coding RNA (473 nucleotides) under Olea europaea (common olive). RNAcentral describes it as "long non-coding RNA (OEUR_LNC015638)". Lineage: Eukaryota; Viridiplantae; Streptophyta; Magnoliopsida; Lamiales; Oleaceae. The record is from RNAcentral.